CCUACGGGGGGCAGCAGUGGGGAAUAUUGGGCAAUGGGCGCAAGCCUGACCCAGCAACGCCGCGUGAAGGAAGAAGGCUCUCGGGUUGUAAACUUCUCUUGUCAGGGACGAAACAAAUGACGGUACUUGACGAAUACGCCACGGCUAACUACGUGCCAGCAGCCGCGGUAAUACGUAGGUGGCAAGCGUUAUCCGGAUUUACUGGGUGUAAAGGGCGUGGAGGCGGGAGAGCAAGUCAGAUGUGAAAUUCCAGGGCUCAACCCUGGAACUGCAUUUGAAACUGUUUUUCUUGAGUGAUGGAGAGGCAGGCGGAAUUCCGUGUGUAGCGGUGAAAUGCGUAGAUAUACGGAGGAACACCAGUGGCGAAGGCGGCCUGCUGGACAUUAACUGACGCUGAGGCGCGAAAGCGUGGGGAGCAAACAGGAUUAGAUACCCUUGUAGUC
Molecule: ribosomal RNA, 443 nt
Filed under: uncultured bacterium
Lineage: Bacteria
Description: partial 16S ribosomal RNA
Rfam family: Bacterial small subunit ribosomal RNA
Source: RNAcentral